GUUAUCUCACCACGAAUACUGCUGUAGGCACUUCUCUGCAAAAAGAAGGGAUUUUUUUCUACAGUAUCAAGAGUCCAAAGAGGAGGAGGAGACAUCAGCAGAAAGCAUAACAUGCAUAUUAGGGGAGCAGGAAUCGAGGGGUGGGAGAUUGGUGUUUGGGAUCUGUCCAGGAGCCUGAUAAAGUGAUUCUAGCGAGAGGUGUGGGUGUCUGAUGGAAAGCAGUGCCGGAAGAGAUGGCGCUGCAUAGGUGUUCACUCUCCCCUUCCAGGAUGAAGCUCCAGUCGACGCGAUGGGGCCAUUCCUCUGUGACUGAGUCGGUGAUCGUCUACAACGCAUGCUCUUUUGUGGAGACUGGGCUAGGAGGGAGAUGUGCAAGAUGAGAACAUGCGACUCUGCCCCCGGCCCCUGGGGGGCCUCAGUGAGAACCGGAUGGGAGGUUUGCACGAGGAGGCUGUGAAGCCAGAUCACCUGCCAGAGGAGUGUCUUUGAAAACCUUUCUCUGAGCCCUCUGUGGUGUGGGAGGAAGAAAGGCAUGACGGUUCAACCAACCCUCCUCCAUGGUCUCUUCCGGAAAUUGUUUCCACACGCAGCGCAAGCACAGGAUGGCCAUCCUGGGCAUGGAGAGAAAGACAUGGAUAAAACAUGUGGAUGUUCCAAGACCAGCCUAUCUUAGGUGCAGCCAUGAAGAUGAGUCAUUUUUUAAAUACAGACUCUCUCAGGGAAGAGACUAAGUAACAUCAUCAUUUAUCUCACAGAUUCUACAAAACUCUGGUCAUAAGUGCUUCCUAACUUGGGACGUGGGCUACCCAUGGGCAAGUAUGAAAGGACCCCGAAAAUCUAAACUCUUUUUUUAAACCUUUUUUUUAAAUUUAUUUAUUUUAUUUGAAAGGCAGAGUUAUAGAGAGGCAGAGGCAGAGAGAGAGAGAGAGAGAGAGGCAGAGAUGUUCCAUCCGCUGGUUUAUUUCCUAGAUGUCCGCAAGCCAAUCUGAAGUCAGGAGCCAGGAGCUUCUUCUGGGUGUGCAGGGUGUGCAGGGGCCCAAGGGCUUGAGCCAUCUUCUACUACUUUCCCAGGCCAUAGCAGAGAGCUGGAUUUGAAAUGGAGCAGCCAGGCCUCAAGCUGGCACCCCUGUGGAAUGCCGGCACUGCAGGUGGCGGCUUUACUCAU
Molecule: long non-coding RNA, 1165 nt
Filed under: Oryctolagus cuniculus (rabbit)
Lineage: Eukaryota; Metazoa; Chordata; Mammalia; Lagomorpha; Leporidae
Description: lncRNA (ENSOCUG00000038915.1)
Source: RNAcentral